RNAcentral lists this small RNA (76 nucleotides) under Serratia marcescens. RNAcentral's name for it is "isrK". The record is from RNAcentral. Lineage: Bacteria; Pseudomonadati; Pseudomonadota; Gammaproteobacteria; Enterobacterales; Yersiniaceae.
GUUGCAGCACAUCUGCAGCCGGGCAUCUCAACCCCGAACAUCCAGACGACGCAUAACACGCGCCAGCGUGUUUUUU